RNAcentral lists this non-coding RNA (46 nucleotides) under Trichobilharzia regenti. Lineage: Eukaryota; Metazoa; Platyhelminthes; Trematoda; Strigeidida; Schistosomatidae. The record is from RNAcentral.
GCACUGUUGAAGAGUCCCAAACUAGGACGAAACAGCUGUUCAGUAC